GUGAGGGAAAGGUGAAAAGUACCCCGGAAGGGGAGUGAAAGAGAACUUGAAACCGUGUGCUUACAAGUAGUCAGAGCCCGUUAAUGGGUGAUGGCGUGCCUUUUGUAGAAUGAACCGGCGAGUUACGUUAUCUAGCGAGGUUAAGUCAGAAAAGACGGAGCCGGAGCGAAAGCGAGUCUUAAUAGGGCGAAAAGUUAGGUGACGUAGACCCGAAACCAAGUGACCUACCCAUGACCUGG
RNAcentral lists this ribosomal RNA (239 nucleotides) under uncultured Pelagophyceae. Its description in RNAcentral is "partial Bacterial large subunit ribosomal RNA". It matches the Rfam family "Bacterial large subunit ribosomal RNA", at positions 503 to 744 of the family's 2925-position model. The record is from RNAcentral. Lineage: Eukaryota; Pelagophyceae.